CCCUUAGAUGUUCUGGGCUGCACACGUGCUACACUGGCAGGUUCAGCGAGCUUCAUGCCCUGAUCUGAAAGGAAUGGGAAAUCUUUUCAAAACCUGCCGUGCUUGGGAUAGAUGUUUGCAAUUAUUCAUCUUCAACGAGGAUUGCCUUGUAAGCGCACGUCAUCAGCGUGCAUUGAAUACGACCCUGUAUUCUGUACACACCGCCCGUCGCGCCUACCGAUUGAAGUUUUCGGUGAGUUGACAGGAGGAUUUUUUUGAAACUGGUUCGCCAGUGGAUUUUAGAUCCAAAUGCCAACGAAUCGAUGGCUUUAGAGGAAGGAGAAGUCGUAACA
This 332-nucleotide ribosomal RNA is filed under the name uncultured eukaryote. Its description in RNAcentral is "partial 18S ribosomal RNA". It matches the Rfam family "Eukaryotic small subunit ribosomal RNA", at positions 1470 to 1796 of the family's 1831-position model. The record is from RNAcentral.